GCAAGUCGAACGGAAACAGCAGGAGCUUGCUCCUGGCUGUCGAGUGGCGGACGGGUGAGUAACGCGUGGGAAUCUACCCAGUAGUGGGGGAAGCCCAGGAGAAAUCCUGAUUAAUACCGCAUACGAUCUACGGAUGAAAGGUGGCCUCUCCCUGGAAGCUAUCGCUAUUGGAUGAGCCCGCGUUAGAUUAGCUAGUUGGUGGGGUAAGAGCCUACCAAGGCGACGAUCUAUAGCUGGUCUGAGAGGACGACCAGCCACAUCGGGACUGAGACACGGCCCGGACUCCUACGGGAGGCAGCAGUGGGGAAUAUUGGACAAUGGGCGCAAGCCUGAUCCAGCAAUGCCGCGUGUGUGAAGAAGGCCCGAGGGUUGUAAAGCACUUUCAAUUGUGAAGAAGUGGAUAAAAUUAAUACUUUUGUUCAUUGACGUUAACUUUAGAAGAAGCACCGGCUAACUCUGUGCCAGCAGCCGCGGUAAUACAGAUGGGUGCGAGCGUAAUCGGAAUUACUGGGCGUAAAGCGCGCGUAGGCGGCUACUUAAGUCAG
Molecule: ribosomal RNA, 545 nt
Filed under: gamma proteobacterium ectosymbiont of Symmetromphalus aff. hageni
Lineage: Bacteria; Pseudomonadati; Pseudomonadota; Gammaproteobacteria
Description: bacterial SSU rRNA
Rfam family: Bacterial small subunit ribosomal RNA
Source: RNAcentral